CCUACGGGGGGCAGCAGUGAGGAAUAUUGGUCAAUGGACGAGAGUCUGAACCAGCCAAGUAGCGUGAAGGAUGACUACCCUAUGGGUUGUAAACUUCUUUUAUAUGGGAAUAAAAUGUUCCACGUGUGGGAUUUUGUAUGUACCAUAUGAAUAAGGAUCGGCUAACUCCGUGCCAGCAGCCGCGGUAAUACGGAGGAUCCGAGCGUUAUCCGGAUUUAUUGGGUUUAAAGGGAGCGUAGGUGGAUUGUUAAGUCAGUUGUGAAAGUUUGCGGCUCAACCGUAAAAUUGCAGUUGAAACUGGCAGUCUUGAGUACAGUAGAGGUGGGCGGAAUUCGUGGUGUAGCGGUGAAAUGCUUAGAUAUCACGAAGAACUCCGAUUGCGAAGGCAGUUCACUGGACUGCAACUGACACUGAGGCUCGAAAGUGUGGGUAUCAAACAGGAUUAGAUACCCCAGUAGUC
This 460-nucleotide ribosomal RNA is filed under the name uncultured bacterium. RNAcentral's name for it is "partial 16S ribosomal RNA". It matches the Rfam family "Bacterial small subunit ribosomal RNA", at positions 338 to 795 of the family's 1533-position model. The record is from RNAcentral.